GAUGAACGCUGGCGGCGUGCCUAAUACAUGCAAGUCGAACGAGGUGCUUUUGUAGCAAUACGAAAGUAUCCUAGUGGCGAACGGGUGAGUAACGCGUUGGUGACCUACCCCAAAGGUGUGGGAUAACAGUUCGAAAGAACUGCUAAUACCGCAUGUGGUUAUCGGAUUUAGAAACUGAUAACUAAAGGAGCAAUUCGCUUUGGGAGGGACCUGCGUCCCAUCAGCUAGUUGGUGAGGUAAUGGGCUCACCAAGGCUACGACGGGUAGGGGACCUGAGAGGGUGACCCCCCACAAUGGAACUGAAACACGGUCCAUACACCUACGGGUGGCAGCAGUAGGGAAUA
This 344-nucleotide ribosomal RNA is filed under the name uncultured bacterium. RNAcentral describes it as "bacterial SSU rRNA". It matches the Rfam family "Bacterial small subunit ribosomal RNA", at positions 28 to 363 of the family's 1533-position model. The record is from RNAcentral.